This 257-nucleotide ribosomal RNA is filed under the name uncultured bacterium. Its description in RNAcentral is "partial 16S ribosomal RNA". It matches the Rfam family "Bacterial small subunit ribosomal RNA", at positions 524 to 777 of the family's 1533-position model. The record is from RNAcentral.
UACGUAGGUGGCAAGCGUUGUCCGGAUUUACUGGGCGUAAAGAGCGCGCAGGCGGUCGUUCAAGUCGCGUGUGAAAGCCCCCCGGCUCAACUGGGGAGGGUCACGCGAUACUGAUCGACUCGAAGGCAGGAGAGGGUAGUGGAAUUCCCGGUGUAGUGGUGAAAUGCGUAGAUAUCGGGAGGAACACCAGUGGCGAAGGCGACUACCUGGCCUGUUCUUGACGCUGAGGCGCGAAAAGCUAGGGGGAGCAAACGGGG